AUACGGAGGGUCCAAGCGUUAUCCGGAAUCAUUGGGUUUAAAGGGUCCGUAGGCGGGCAAUUAAGUCAGAGGUGAAAUCCCACAGCUCAACUGUGGAACUGCCUUUGAUACUGGUUGUCUUGAAUUAUAGUGAAGUAGAUAGAAUGUGUAGUGUAGCGGUGAAAUGCAUAGAUAGUACACAGAAUACCGAUUGCGAAGGCAGUCUACUAACUAUAUAUUGACGCUGAUGGACGAAAGCGUGGGGAGCGAACAGGAUUAGAUACCCUAGUAGUCC
Molecule: ribosomal RNA, 274 nt
Filed under: uncultured bacterium
Lineage: Bacteria
Description: partial 16S ribosomal RNA
Rfam family: Bacterial small subunit ribosomal RNA
Source: RNAcentral